This 1177-nucleotide long non-coding RNA is filed under the name Struthio camelus australis. RNAcentral's name for it is "lncRNA (ENSSCUG00000015951.1)". The record is from RNAcentral. Lineage: Eukaryota; Metazoa; Chordata; Aves; Struthioniformes; Struthionidae.
CGUAGUUAUCUUUUUGGAACUACUUUGUCUAAUUGCAAGAAGGCUUGCAUAAUCCUUUUACUACUUUUUACAAUGGAUUUCAGGUUUUGAGCUCAUGCAAAACAUUCACACCUCCCAGAAGUAAUAACUAGGUUCAAAUGACACAUUCAAAAGGCAUUCCUCAGCACUAGAUCAAGUUUCAGAUUCCUUUUUACUGAUCUCUCUUUCCUAAUAAUACCACUGCACAGUGGAAAAGCCAGCUGUAGAUAUGCACAGCAUCAGAGGGCCACUUUGUAGUUAGCAUGAAGGACCGCAUCCACUGCAGUGAAUGGAAGGCAACUUUAAAUUUGUGUAGGAUCUGCCUCAGGCCACAGUUAGACCGUCUUCCUUUCAGACUUUGCUAUGACAGGUUUCCAUGUCAUUAAUAGGAAAGUACUAUCAUGGUGAGUUUGGAAGACCUAGCAUCACCUGAGAAAUCAAUUACAUAAUUCAAAGCAAUGUUUUUUUCUGUUCAAGAGGACCUCAUCAGUAUAACCUCAAAAUGUGUAUUUUUGCUUUCUUUGAACAAAACUUCAGAUUAGGCAGUUCUGUUUUGUAAUAAUGAAUGUCUGGGUUCGGUGUUGCCCUUUUUCCCCCUGCAGCACUAACAAUUGGGAAACCGUAAUAAUACCUUGAGAAACCUUUGGGAAGUCCAAAACAAUGCAUGCACAGGACUCUUUCACAAAAUGCUGCUAUGUAUAUAAAAUAAACCACCUGAAGUCCACCUUAAGAAAUGCUCAGAGGAGAUAGGAAAGAACUUCAAUAACUACUUAAAACGCUUUGGACAAACAGCCGAGUGGUACAAAAGAUUUUUAUUCCUGGGAACACACCUUUACAAAUGUAUCUGCUUCUGUGCUGUGGAACAGUACUGCAUUGCAAAGUUUUUCAGGUGGGAAAUGAAAUCCUUAAGAAACAAGCUGAGAACUCUUUGCCUUACUGUUGUGCAUAAAAUUGGUUUCCAUAUCUGGAAUUGAAGCAUUCCUUUGUCAAAAAAUAUUAUUUGGCAAGGUUUCUUCCACAGUCAACAAAAAAUGUAAACCCCUCUAAGAAGUGAUUCAGGAUGCCUAUAUAAGGCACCCACUUCUCUGACCCAACUGCUCAGGCCUGCCAGAUGAUUCAGGGCUCCCAUGUGCACAGCUGGGGAACUACGCAGAGCUGG